This 1966-nucleotide unclassified non-coding RNA is filed under the name Synechococcus sp. 11TAC1. RNAcentral's name for it is "bacterial SSU rRNA". The stretch from base 1 to 1079 matches the Rfam family "Bacterial small subunit ribosomal RNA", at positions 441 to 1533 of the family's 1533-position model. Lineage: Bacteria; Bacillati; Cyanobacteriota; Cyanophyceae; Synechococcales; Synechococcaceae. The record is from RNAcentral.
AAGGAAGAAGACAUGACGGUACUUGAGGAAUAAGCCACGGCUAAUUCCGUGCCAGCAGCCGCGGUAAUACGGGAGUGGCAAGCGUUAUCCGGAAUUAUUGGGCGUAAAGCGUCCGCAGGCGGCCCAGCAAGUCUGUUGUUAAAAAGUGGAGCUUAACUCCAUCCAGGCAAUGGAAACUGCUGGGCUAGAGUGUGGUAGGGGCAGAGGGAAUUCCCGGUGUAGCGGUGAAAUGCGUAGAUAUCGGGAAGAACACCAGUGGCGAAGGCGCUCUGCUGGGCCAUAACUGACGCUCAUGGACGAAAGCCAGGGGAGCGAAAGGGAUUAGAUACCCCUGUAGUCCUGGCCGUAAACGAUGAACACUAGGUGUCGGGGGAAUCGACCCCCUCGGUGUCGUAGCCAACGCGUUAAGUGUUCCGCCUGGGGAGUACGCACGCAAGUGUGAAACUCAAAGGAAUUGACGGGGGCCCGCACAAGCGGUGGAGUAUGUGGUUUAAUUUCGAUGCAACGCGAAGAACCUUACCAGGGUUUGACAUCCUGCGAAUCCCUUGGAAACUUGGGAGUGCCUUCGGGAGCGCAGUGACAGGUGGUGCAUGGCUGUCGUCAGCUCGUGUCGUGAGAUGUUGGGUUAAGUCCCGCAACGAGCGCAACCCACGUCUUUAGUUGCCAGCAUUUAGUUGGGCACUCUAGAGAGACCGCCGGUGAUAAACCGGAGGAAGGUGUGGAUGACGUCAAGUCAUCAUGCCCCUUACAUCCUGGGCUACACACGUACUACAAUGCUACGGACAAAGGGCAGCAAACUCGCGAGAGCUAGCAAAUCCCAUAAACCGUGGCUCAGUUCAGAUCGUAGGCUGCAACUCGCCUACGUGAAGGAGGAAUCGCUAGUAAUCGCAGGUCAGCAUACUGCGGUGAAUACGUUCCCGGGCCUUGUACACACCGCCCGUCACACCAUGGAAGUUGGCCAUGCCCGAAGUCGUUACUCCAACCCGUAAGGGAGGAGGACGCCGAAGGUGGGGCUGAUGACUGGGGUGAAGUCGUAACAAGGUAGCCGUACCGGAAGGUGCGGCUGGAUCACCUCCUAACAGGGAGACAAAACUGAUUGUGAUGUCUGAGCGCUAUGAGGACGAAAGUCUGAGUGGCACAUUUGUCUUAGUCCACAAUCCUGUCAUCUCGAAGGUCGAUCGGUACCUCAGCUGACAAAUCAGAAAGCAGAGAUUAGAUCCAGCAAUGGAUUUGAUUGAAGACUUGUCUGAGGCGUCUUUUCAGUUCCUAAACUUUGUCUAGGUCACACCCCACAGAGAGUGAAUCCCGCGAGGGAGGAGCUUAAUGGAAAGGUAAAACUCCUGGGCCAUUAGCUCAGGUGGUUAGAGCGCACCCCUGAUAAGGGUGAGGUCCCUGGUUCAAGUCCAGGAUGGCCCAUUCGUGUUUGGGGGUUUAGCUCAGUUGGUAGAGCGCCUGCUUUGCAAGCAGGAUGUCAGCGGUUCGAGUCCGCUAACCUCCACUGACCAAACCCUUCACAGCGAAAGCAGGAGGAGGAAACCGAGCCAUGCCAUGGUGUGACGAGACAUGUCCGCUGAUCAAGAAUUCAGCUUCUUUUCAUUUGAGAUGGAAUUGCCAUCCAGUUGAAAAGACGCUGAGCUCUAGCAGUAUGAAUGGAGGCUGAAAAGUCUGGAUUCAUGCUCUGAUGUUCAGCUGAACCUUGACAACUGCAUAAGUAAAGUCUGGAAAUGAAAGCAUCUCAUGGAUGCUCGAUUUCUGCUGAAAGGUUUCGAGAGAAUCCUUUGAAGCGUGAAUCGAGAAGUUCUUGAGCAAGAGCCGAGACCCAGCAUUGUUCCUCAAACAUCGCCGAGAUGGGAGGGGUCUGAUUUUGGCAUUCAAACCGUUGAUGACCACGAUGAAGGCAAUGAAGAUUGUCUUGAUUUUGUCAUGAAGAGGUGAAUCCGAGAGAAUCUGCGAUUCAAGGCAGCAA